GCCUGUAGUACUCACAGGUGCAUCUGCUGUUCAAUUCUGCACCAUUGAAUCAGAGAUGUGUGUAAAACAUUGCGGACAAUGAAUUUCAAAGCCCUUGCAUUCAUCAGGACAGUUCACAAGAAACACCAAAGUAAAGAGAAAAUAACAUCCAAGCUGUACGAGAGUAUAAACUCUCCAGGUGAAUCCUGCUGACGACAAGACCUCCUAAAUUUACAAAGGGGCCAGCAACUUCAGAAAUCCAUGAAGGACAGUGAGCAGCACUGCUGCACCCGACAGCAGCAGAUUCUCUGCUAGGGAGUGGGGAAUGCAUAGAUUCUCUACAGGCUAUAUUCAGCACCCAGAUGUCCAACAAGUCUCCACCACGAACUCAGGAUCUUCAGUUUUUGGGUCCCCCUUUCACAGGUCUUCAUUUUGAUAUGGGUGCAACACUAGGCCAAGCACACUUCAAUAAAGAUCCUGAAGCAACAGCAGCCUGAAUUGCCUUGUCCACCAUGUGGUGGGGCUAAGUGUAGAAGGAACCAGGAUGCUAGAGGUGUUCAGAUGCAUGGCUCUGGUGAUGCAUUCAAGAGCAUGACAGCUGUCCUGCAAGGCAGAGGACAGUAUUUGAGACACCAUAUUUGAAAAUUCUGUGAGCAAACACAUGUACGAAUUGGUGAAGGCCAACUGGAUGCAAUUAUCCUGUUGUGAGCGAUUAGACUAAAAGAAUAUUGACUGCA
This is a long non-coding RNA of Chiloscyllium plagiosum (whitespotted bambooshark), 716 nucleotides long. RefSeq lists it as uncharacterized. The record is from RefSeq and is a predicted model, not a curated record. Lineage: Eukaryota; Metazoa; Chordata; Chondrichthyes; Orectolobiformes; Hemiscylliidae.